GCAACGCGAAGAACCUUACCAGGCCUUGACAUGCAGAGAACUUUCCAGAGAUGGAUUGGUGCCUUCGGGAACGUCUGACACAGGUGCUGCAUGGCUGUCGUCAGCUCGUGUCGUGAGAUGUUGGGUUAAGUCCGUAACGAGCGCAACCCUUGUCCUUAGUUACCAGCACGUUAUGGUGGGCACUCUAAGGAGACUGCCGGUGACAAACCGGAGGAAGGUGGGGAUGACGUCAAGUCAUCACGGCCCUUACGGCCUGGGCUACACACGUGCUACAAUGGUCGGUACAAAGGGUUGCCAAGCCGCGAGGUGGAGCUAAUCCCAUAAAACCGAUCGUAGUCCGGAUCGCAGUCUGCAACUCGACUGCGUGAAGUCGGAAUCGCUAGUAAUCGUGAAUCAGAAUGUCACGGUGAAUACGUUCCCGGGCCUU
Molecule: ribosomal RNA, 427 nt
Filed under: uncultured Pseudomonas sp.
Lineage: Bacteria; Pseudomonadati; Pseudomonadota; Gammaproteobacteria; Pseudomonadales; Pseudomonadaceae
Description: bacterial SSU rRNA
Rfam family: Bacterial small subunit ribosomal RNA
Source: RNAcentral